GGGGAGGUGCCAGAGUGGUUGAAUGGGUCGGUCUCGAAAACCGUUGUACGGUUCUGCCGUACCGUGGGUUCGAAUCCCACCCUCUCCGCCA
This 91-nucleotide transfer RNA is filed under the name Deinococcus radiophilus. Its description in RNAcentral is "tRNA-Ser". It matches the Rfam family "tRNA". From Rfam's summary of the family: Transfer RNA (tRNA) molecules are approximately 80 nucleotides in length. Their secondary structure includes four short double-helical elements and three loops (D, anti-codon, and T loops). Lineage: Bacteria; Thermotogati; Deinococcota; Deinococci; Deinococcales; Deinococcaceae. The record is from RNAcentral.